Molecule: ribosomal RNA, 512 nt
Filed under: uncultured Entrophospora
Lineage: Eukaryota; Fungi; Glomeromycota; Glomeromycetes; Entrophosporales; Entrophosporaceae
Description: SSU rRNA
Rfam family: Eukaryotic small subunit ribosomal RNA
Source: RNAcentral
AGCAGCCGCGGUAAUUCCAGCUCCAAUAGCGUAUAUUAAAGUUGUUGCAGUUAAAAAGCUCGUAGUUGAAUUUCGGGAUUGACGUGAUGGUCGUGCCUUACGGGGUAUGAACUGUUGCAGUCAAUUUCUCACCUUCUGGAGAAAUAUGAUGUCCUUAAUUGGGUGUCAUAUGGAACCAGAACUUUUACCUUGAAAAAAUUAGAGUGUUUAAAGCAGGCUUAUUGCUCGAAUACAUUAGCAUGGAAUAAUAAAAUAGGACGGCAUGGUUCUAUUUUGUUGGUUUCUAGGAUCACCGUAAUGAUUAAUAGGGAUAGUUGGGGGCAUUAGUAUUCAAUUGUCAGAGGUGAAAUUCUUGGAUUUAUUGAAGACUAACUACUGCGAAAGCAUUUGCCAAGGAUGUUUUCAUUAAUCAAGAACGAAAGUUAGGGGAUCGAAGACGAUCAGAUACCGUUGUAGUCUUAACCAUAAACUAUGCCGACUAGGGAUCGGAUGAUGUUAAUUUUUAAUGACUC